UGCAGUUUAUUUUCUGGGUGUUAAUGAAAGUUUAUACAUGUCUCACUGCAUUGGAGCUGACUGCAGAGAUUAAAGCACAACUUUGAAACAGCGCCAUGGUUGGUGUGCACGGUCUGCUCCUAGUUUAUCCUCCUCAUUCGUUCAGGACUUGAUAAACGUGUCCUGGGUUCUGGCAGGCCCCACAGCAGGCAGAGCCCAGGGAAGCACAAAGCUGUGCUUUCCAGGAACCCCCACACCUCCACCCUUUCCUAUCCUCUGCGUAUAUGCAUGUAUGAACACUCGUGUGGUUGGCUGGUGAUAGGCAACCAGCAUCCAGACAAAUACUCAAAAUUCCAAAUGAUAAUAAGAUGCUCUGAAGAGGGUUGAUGAGAUAGAUGGCUCAGCAGGUACAGGAACUUGCCACCAAGUCUUAGGGCCCUAGUUCAGUCCCCAGGACCCAACAGAAAGAACUGACCCCUUUAAAUUGUCUUGUGACCUCCACACAUACCCUCUUGUCUUGUGUCCCCACACAAAGUAAGUAAGUGUGGUUUCUAGCUAUCUGAAGACAAGGUAAUUGGGUGAGUGAAAGAAAGGGCUUGUGUGUCCUUGAAAUGAGCUAGUGCAGCAUCUUUGCCCUGAGGGGGGUCGUCUAUCAUAGAUAGAUGAUGAUGUCUCAGUUUGACUUCUUGCUGGAAGGGACCUGAGUUCAUAAAGCAGGGAAACCAGCUUUGUUUUUCUUUCCAGAUGUGAAAGGUGAGCUUGUCCUGAGCAAAUGACCUAGGAGAAGAGUGUUAUGUAGUUUGUUUAACACUGAGUUGGAACAUGUUGCUCGUUUUGUUCUGGAUUGUUUCUUUGACCUAUCCCACCUGCAGAUCCGGCUUCCCCUGCCUUUGCUGGUCCACACCUGGAACACCCUUCCCAGUCUGGCUAACCCCUCCUGUGUCCAGAAAGCCAGCCUUGCCUGACACUCUCCUGGAAUCUUAAAUAGGCUCUUGUUGCCACUCAGACUUAUUUUGUAAAGACCGACUGACUUUUAUAUUAUAUGCAUUUGUGUUUGCCUGCAUGUGUGUUAGAUAUGUACCACAUGUGUGCCUGUUACCUGCAGACAAAAAGAGGCCAUCAGAUCAUAUGAAACAAGUCACAGGUGGUUGUGAAACCACCAUGUGAGUGCUGGGAACUAAACCCAGAUCCUCUUUGAGAGCAGCAAGUGUCCUUAACCACUGAGCCGUCUCUCCAGCAUCUCUCCCUCAGCCCCCUUCCCAGACUUCUUUCUUAGAUAUUUGUUAUAUUCUUGAAAGACACAGCUUUCUUAUUCCCCCAUCUCUCCGUCUUGUGCAAUCUGUGGUCUCUCAGUUUCGUUCCUUUCUUGGUUUUGGCCAAGGGUGUGGAAAGCAUUUAAUGAAGGGAUAAAAUGGAGUGUUUCCUGUCCAGAAAGGACAAUAGGAGAUGGUUCCUGUUGAGAGCUAGCCCCGUGCUUCAUGCUUCCUCCUGACCUUCCGUGGGACAGACUAUAACCUGACUAAAGCCCAUUUUCUGAGCUCCUCUGAUCCGUAGUCAAAGAGGGGCUGUUCAGGGCAAUGGUUACACCGUUAUUAUGGUCCAUAUUUACAGCGCCAUCCUUGGGGCAGGACAGAUUGGAGCCAAGCAUCUGGAAUCGCGUGCACAUGUACACAUAGGCAACACUUAAGGGCUUGUGUGUGCCGCCAUUUCCUAAGAGGUUUAACUGAAAUGGAGGGCACACCCUGAGCCUGGGCAAUAGUAGUCCCUGAGCUGGUGGAGCCUAGGCCAAACAAAAUGAGAAAGCCAGCUAAGCACCAGCCAUCCCUGCUGUCUGACUGCUCACUCGUGUCCAGCCACCUGAUGGGCUUGCUGCCAUGGAGGACUGUACCUUCAAAUUGUGAGCCAAGAUAAACCAUCCCUCCCCCCCUUUUGGGGGAGGAGGAGGGGAGGUACUUUGUAAUAAAUAGCAUCGAAGACACUAAUUCAUAGGUCUAUCAGGAAUCUCCCAGCAACCCUUGCUAAAGGCCAUACACCACCCUGAAAAAUACUAGGAUAGGGAAAGGAGAAGUGUCCUGUUUGCCUGGAUUCCCAUUUGCCAGAGAAGUAUCCUAGUGUUUACCAGUGAAAUUGAAAGCCUGACUGGCCUGGGUAAUGCAGCCAGUGUUUUGCAUACAAUUUACAUGUAUUUAAAUAUUCAAGAGGAAAGUAUCUUGUUCAAUUGGUGGUUUAAUGCUUUAACAACAGGCAUUGGUAGCCUACUUUGUGGUUUAGAUUAUAGUCUUGUCUUCAGUAAUUAAAGAGUAUGAAGUGUAUAGUUGUGGAAAUUAUGAGCCUUUUGGCCACUUAUAAAAAUAAACUUUAUAGUCUUAC
RNAcentral lists this long non-coding RNA (2349 nucleotides) under Mus musculus (house mouse). RNAcentral's name for it is "long non-coding RNA chr15:12272147-12274496". Lineage: Eukaryota; Metazoa; Chordata; Mammalia; Rodentia; Muridae. The record is from RNAcentral.